This 485-nucleotide ribosomal RNA is filed under the name uncultured bacterium. RNAcentral describes it as "bacterial SSU rRNA". It matches the Rfam family "Bacterial small subunit ribosomal RNA", at positions 17 to 518 of the family's 1533-position model. The record is from RNAcentral.
UUCUGGCUCAGGACGAACGCUGGCGGCGUGCUUAACACAUGCAAGUCGAGCGAUGAAGCUUCUUCGGAAGUGGAUUAGCGGCGGACGGGUGAGUAACACGUGGGUAACCUGCCUCAUAGAGGGGAAUAGCCUUUCGAAAGGAAGAUUAAUACCGCAUAAGAUUGUAGUACCGCAUGGUACAGCAAUUAAAGGAGUAAUCCGCUAUGAGAUGGACCCGCGUCGCAUUAGCUAGUUGGUGAGGUAACGGCUCACCAAGGCGACGAUGCGUAGCCGACCUGAGAGGGUGAUCGGCCACAUUGGGACUGAGACACGGCCCAGACUCCUACGGGAGGCAGCAGUGGGGAAUAUUGCACAAUGGGGGAAACCCUGGUGCCAGCAACGCCGCGUGAGUGAUGACGGCCUUCGGGUUGUAAAACUCUGUCUUUGGGGACGAUAAUGACGGUACCCAAGGAGGAAGCCACGGCUAACUACGUGCCAGCAGCUGC